CCCUUAGAUGUCCUGGGCUGCACGCGCGCUACACUGAUGUGUCCAGUAAGCACCUAACCUCUUCCGAAAGGAACGGGUAACCUUUGCAAAGCACAUCGUGAUGGGGAUAGAUUAUUGCAAUUAUUAGUCUUGAACGAGGAAUUCCUAGUAAGUGCAAGUCAUCAGCUUGCGCUGAUUACGUCCCUGCCCUUUGUACACACCGCCCGUCGCUACUACCGAUUGAAUGGUUUAGUGAGAUCUCUGGAUUGACGCUGGCUAGGGGGCGACCCUUGGCCAGACUGUUGAGAAACUGCUCAAACUUGAUCAUUUAGAGGAAGUAAAAGUCGUAACA
This 331-nucleotide ribosomal RNA is filed under the name uncultured eukaryote. RNAcentral describes it as "partial 18S ribosomal RNA". It matches the Rfam family "Eukaryotic small subunit ribosomal RNA", at positions 1470 to 1796 of the family's 1831-position model. The record is from RNAcentral.